Molecule: long non-coding RNA, 556 nt
Filed under: Homo sapiens (human)
Lineage: Eukaryota; Metazoa; Chordata; Mammalia; Primates; Hominidae
Description: non-protein coding lnc-DBN1-3:5
Source: RNAcentral
GGAGAAUGGAGUUGCCAUCCGCGUGAUGGGGAUGGCUGUGGGAGGAGAGGUUUGGGGUGAGGGAAUCAGGAACUGAGUGCUGGACAUGGCAAGUCUGAAGGCGCAGUGGUCGUCCACUCAGAGACCUUGGAGUUGGAGAUGGAGGUGUGGGAGUCCUGAACAGUUAGAUGUAGUGUUUACCGCGAGAAGGAACAGGGCUUGCGGCCAGCCCUCCUGUGUUCCCGUGACCCAGGGCAGGGCAGGAGGGGCCUGAGCCUGCCGAGUGACUGGGACCUCCUUCCAGGAGAUCAUGCACGCCCUGAAGAUGACCUGGCACGUGCACUGCUUUACCUGUGCUGCCUGCAAGACGCCCAUCCGGAACAGGGCCUUCUACAUGGAGGAGGGCGUGCCCUAUUGCGAGCGAGACUAUGAGAAGAUGUUUGGCACGAAAUGCCAUGGCUGUGACUUCAAGAUCGACGCUGGGGACCGCUUCCUGGAGGCCCUGGGCUUCAGCUGGCAUGACACCUGCUUCGUCUGUGCGAUAUGUCAGAUCAACCUGGAAGGAAAGACCUUCUAC